This 86-nucleotide transfer RNA is filed under the name Haematospirillum jordaniae. Its description in RNAcentral is "tRNA-Tyr". It matches the Rfam family "tRNA". Rfam says of the family: Transfer RNA (tRNA) molecules are approximately 80 nucleotides in length. Their secondary structure includes four short double-helical elements and three loops (D, anti-codon, and T loops). RNAcentral also lists the same sequence under 2 other names. The record is from RNAcentral. Lineage: Bacteria; Pseudomonadati; Pseudomonadota; Alphaproteobacteria; Rhodospirillales; Novispirillaceae.
GGAGGGGUGGCCGAGUGGUUAAUGGCAGCAGACUGUAAAUCUGCCGACGGAUGUCUACGUAGGUUCGAAUCCUACCCCCUCCACCA